AUUGAAUGCUGGCGGCAUGCCUUACACAUGCAAGUCGAACGGCAGCACGGGAGCAAUCCUGGUGGCGAGUGGCGAACGGGUGAGUAAUAUAUCGGAACGUGCCCGGUCGUGGGGAUAACGUAGCGAAAGCUACGCUAAUACCGCAUACGAUCUACGGAUGAAAGCGGGGGAUCGCAAGACCUCGCGCGAUUGGAGCGGCCGAUAUCAGAUUAGGUAGUUGGUGAGGUAAAGGCUCACCAAGCCGACGAUCUGUAGCUGGUCUGAGAGGACGACCAGCCACACUGGGACUGAGACACGGCCCAGACUCCUACGGGAGGCAGCAGUGGGGAAUUUUGGACAAUGGGCGCAAGCCUGAUCCAGCAAUGCCGCGUGCAGGAUGAAGGCCUUCGGUUGUAAACUGCUUUUGUACGGUAACGAAACGGUAGAGCUCUAAUACAGUUUGCUAAUGACGGUACCGUAAGAAUAAGACACCGGCUAACUACGUAG
This 486-nucleotide ribosomal RNA is filed under the name uncultured bacterium. Its description in RNAcentral is "bacterial SSU rRNA". It matches the Rfam family "Bacterial small subunit ribosomal RNA", at positions 30 to 508 of the family's 1533-position model. The record is from RNAcentral.